CGGAAUACAGUAAAACCUCAGGUUAUACCGUCAGAAACCCUAGAAGCUGAUAGGUCACCCAAAAUCAACCAACCAAAAUCAUCAUAAAAUCUUUCCAGAAUGUUCAGGAGAUGAAAAUACACUCGGAUAUCAGGAUGAGACACUCAGAAAAGUCUCCGAUAGGUUGAAAUNNNAGAAUACAGUAAAACCUCAGGUUAUACCGUCAGAAACCCUAGAAGCUGAUAGGUCACCCAAAAUCAACCAACCAAAAUCAUCAUAAAAUCUUUCCAGAAUGUUCAGGAGAGGAAAUACACUCGGAUAUCACGAUGAGACACUCAGAAAGGUCUCCGAUAGGUUGAAUUCUUCAUCGACCAUGAGGUCUCAGAAAUCACCCCCAAAAACCUCGAAACAGACUUCAUCCAAGACCACGAAGCACAUAGAAACAUGAUCGGAUCAUCG
Molecule: long non-coding RNA, 438 nt
Filed under: Nicotiana benthamiana
Lineage: Eukaryota; Viridiplantae; Streptophyta; Magnoliopsida; Solanales; Solanaceae
Description: long non-coding RNA (NBEN_LNC011372)
Source: RNAcentral